GAUGAAGAACGUAGAGAAAUGCGAUACUUGGUGUGAAUUGCAGAAUCCCGUGAACCAUCGAGUCUUUGAACGCAAGUUGCGCCUCAAGCCAUUAGGUUGAGGGCACGUCUGCCUGGGCGUCACAUAUCGUUGCCUGAUGCCAGUUUCCUCGUGAUGGGUGACUGUGCAGGGCGAAUGAUGGCUUCCCGUGAGCAUUGUUGCCUCAUGGUUGGUUGAAAAUUGAGUCCUUGGUAGGGAGCGCCGUGAUAGAUGGUGGUUGAGUGACGAACGAGACCCAAUCAUGUGAGACCCCUACCGAAUUUGGCCUUCAUGACCCACAUGCGUCUUUGGAACGCUCAUGACGAGACCUCAGGUCAGGCGGGGCUACCCGCUGAGUUUAAGCAUAUCAAUAAGCGGAGGA
This 400-nucleotide unclassified non-coding RNA is filed under the name soil metagenome. RNAcentral describes it as "partial contains 5.8S ribosomal RNA, internal transcribed spacer 2, and large subunit ribosomal RNA". The stretch from base 1 to 122 matches the Rfam family "5.8S ribosomal RNA", at positions 35 to 154 of the family's 154-position model. The record is from RNAcentral.